GCCUAGUUAGCUUAGUUGGUAGCGCGUCUGCCUUGUAAGCGCUAGGCCGCGGGUUUUAUUCCCGCCCGGGGUG
Molecule: transfer RNA, 73 nt
Filed under: Diaphorina citri (Asian citrus psyllid)
Lineage: Eukaryota; Metazoa; Arthropoda; Insecta; Hemiptera; Psyllidae
Rfam family: tRNA
About the family: Transfer RNA (tRNA) molecules are approximately 80 nucleotides in length. Their secondary structure includes four short double-helical elements and three loops (D, anti-codon, and T loops).
Source: Rfam by way of RNAcentral